Oreochromis aureus is the source of this 514-nucleotide long non-coding RNA. RefSeq lists it as uncharacterized. Lineage: Eukaryota; Metazoa; Chordata; Actinopteri; Cichliformes; Cichlidae. The record is from RefSeq and is a predicted model, not a curated record. The transcript has 4 exons.
UUGUGUAAACAGAUACUUCUGGUUUUGUCACAGCCAAGCUAAAGGGUUGGCCCAUUCCUGCUGCUCUCCUGAAGCGAAGAUAGCGUAAAAGAUGACCCCUGAGUAAUGCACCAUGGCCGCAAUAACAAAGACAUUCUGCCACUCCAGACGAGUCUGUAGGGAGAUGAAGAGAGUCAAUGAAUUUUCUGUCAGAGGAAGAAUUACUGAUAUUUCAAUGAUGCACCACUGAGCAGACACAACAAGGGGACCGGAUCUGCGAAACAAAAAAGUGAGCUCUCUCACGUCCAUUUGCUGGCCGAUUGUGUGACACGUGUAGCACAAAUAGAAUCCGCAGACAAUUUUCACAAGAAGAAUCAGAGGCAUCACCCACCACAGAAUGAAGUUGUCGCCAGUCGACUUCGUUCAAGAGGAGGCGCCCAUUUGGACCACAUCCCAUGACAUGCUGGGAUGCGAACAAACAUGACGCAGCCGUAGUGCACUCUGGCUGCGGAUGGGAUGAACAUAUUGAGCAGUG